RNA transcript from Eutrema salsugineum, 2291 nucleotides. It is a transcript of the gene named nitrilase-like protein 2, with no coding region annotated. NCBI's taxonomy places the organism in Eukaryota, Viridiplantae, Streptophyta, Magnoliopsida, Brassicales, Brassicaceae. The transcript is spliced from 10 exons. The record is from RefSeq and is a predicted model, not a curated record.
AUGAACACUUACUUUGCUUCUGUCGACUUCACGAAAGCUUCUCCCCAGAUUCCGAUUGCCAUGGCCACCGCUAAGACGACGGUUCGCGUCGCCGCUGCUCAGAUGACAUCCGUCAAUGAUCUGAUGGCCAAUUUCGCCACGUGCUCUCGUCUCGUACAAGAAGCAGCAUCGGCUGGUGCAAAGCUGAUUUGCUUCCCGGAGAACUUCUCCUACAUGGGAGAGAAAUCAGGGGACAGCGUACAGAUCGCGGAAGCAUUAGACGGGCCAGUGAUGCAACGGUAUUGCUCUCUCGCCAGGGAUUCAAAUAUUUGGUUGUCUCUUGGAGGCUUCCAAGAAAGAUUUGAUGAUACUCAUUUGUGUAAUACACAUGUUGUGAUCGAUGCAGCUGGAAUGAUACAAAAGACUUAUCAGAAAAUGCAUUUGUUUGAUGUUGAUGUUCCUGGUGGAAGCUCGUAUAAGGAAAGCAGCUUUACAGUUCCAGGGACAAAGAUUGUUUCUGUCGAAAGUCCUAUUGGGUGCUUAGGCCUUACAGUAUGCUACGAUUUGAGGUUUCCUAAGAUAUAUCAGCAACUGAGAUUCGACCAGAACGCUCAGGUUUUACUGGUACCGUCAGCUUUCACCACGGUCACUGGGGAGGCACACUGGGAGAUUCUUCUUCGAGCCAGAGCGAUUGAAACACAAUGUUAUGUUAUAGCUGCUGCUCAAGCUGGAAAACAUAAUGAGAAAAGAGAAAGUUAUGGAGACACACUGAUCAUUGAUCCUUGGGGAACUGUGAUUGGAAGAUUACCGGAUCGUUUUUCAACUGGCAUUGUUGUGGCGGAAAUUGAUUUUUCGUUGCUUGAUUCGGUGAGAACAAAAAUGCCAAUUGAUAAGCAACGGGUCUCGAUAGAUCUCUAAAGAGCGCUGAUAGGCCUCGUAAAGACUGUAUGUAAGGAGAUAUUCUGCAAGGACGCAAGGUGAAGAAGAGCUGGAGUCUGUGGUUACAAAAGAAUUGUUGUUUUGAUGACUGCUGAUUGCCGAUUGAUGUGAGGUUAUUAGUGGAGCAGUGCAACAAGGUUCGAAUAUUCGAAUAUUCCAUUAAGAACGUUCACAGUCUCAUCAUCACAAGCUAGCUGGAGAGUCAAAAACCUUACGAAGGAGACAAUGCGCUUAGGACAUCAAGCUACUUCUAGUGCAGUGUCUGCGUUUACUAAAGGAAGAAGGAAAUUAUCAGACUCUGAGUUUGAGGAUCGUCGUAAGAAAGGCUUAUGUUUUGAAAAUGUGAUGUAUAUAUUAGCAGUUGAUUGAUGGAUAUGAGGUCAACGUGAUGGAAGAAGAACAAACAUCUCACUGAACUUGGUUUUGGGGUUGUCUUCACCGACAAGGACAAAGUUGAAAGGAAGUGUAGUGUGAAGAAAUUGGAAGUAACUGUUAUGAUGAACAGUGGAGAUACGCAUAAUUUCAGAUCUCUUUCGCGAUUGGCAGUGCAGAUUUACACGAAAUGUCAUUUUUGUACAAUGGACAAUAGGUUACACUAAAAGGUGAUUCUAAUGGACUAACUUUUCGAGAAUUGCCACCAAUCAAUUUUUUUCCUUCCUUUUAAUCAUAUUAAUCAAAGGGUUUGACUGGUAUAUUUUCUGAUUGACAAAUAACAGAAUAGCUGAAUAAUAGAAGAAAGAACUGAAUUGGAUAAAGUUUCAAGAAAACCAAUUUUUCUCAGGUUGAAGAAUUGAUUUGGUCUUCUGGCCAUAAAGUAAAAGGUCUCAGUUUUUGGAAGGUUUCUCUCUUCUACAGAUCAGAUCCGGCGUUGAAGAUUCUAUUUCUUCUCCAAAAAUUGGUAUCAUCUUCUCUUGGCUGGGAGUUAUAUCUCCCUUCAUACCCUCAUGAUGAACCUUAUUAAAGGCGUAGGGUUAUUGGUCUAGAGCUCGAGAUGAUCGGCUUUAAUCUUACGGAGGCAAGAAGCUUUUUGAUUAAUCGGGAUCUCGCUGUGGAAGGAGUUUACAUGAUGGUUUUUGAGGAGGAUGAUUUGGAUCUGUUGAAUUUUCAGUUUCAAAUUCAUCGGAUCUUUGGUUUUCCAGAGGAGCUCUAUUUCAGUGACGUUGUCGGCGGCGGCAUCUCCUCACCGUCCACCAAUCUUCUGCCCUAGGCUGACACGCGUGUUAUACGUGUUAUAAAAUUAUCCAUCAUUAUCCCAUUAUGUUAAUGGAUCAAUAUUUGGGCUUAAAUUGUAAUAGCUUUAAACCUCGAAACCAUAUGUAAUGUGCUUAUGUGCCCAUGUUCGGCUUUUAUAUAAGAGAUGUUUACAUUCUAUA